AUACGGAGGGGGUUAGCGUUGUUCGGAAUUACUGGGCGUAAAGCGCACGUAGGCGGAUUGGAAAGUUGGGGGUGAAAUCCCAGGGCUUAACCCUGGAACUGCCUCCAAAACUAACAGUCUAGAGUUCGAGAGAGGUGAGUGGAAUUCCAAGUGUAGAGGUGAAAUUCGUGGAUAUUUGGAGGAACACCAGUGGCGAAGGCGGCUCACUGGCUCGAUACUGACGCUGAGGUGCGAAAGCGUGGGGAGCAAACAGGAUUAGAAACCACAGUAGUCC
RNAcentral lists this ribosomal RNA (274 nucleotides) under uncultured bacterium. RNAcentral describes it as "partial 16S ribosomal RNA". It matches the Rfam family "Bacterial small subunit ribosomal RNA", at positions 523 to 796 of the family's 1533-position model. The record is from RNAcentral.